GAUGAACGCUGGCGGCGUGCCUAAUACAUGCAAGUCGAGCGAACAGACGAGGAGCUUGCUCCUCUGACGUUAGCGGCGGACGGGUGAGUAACACGUGGAUAACCUACCUAUAAGACUGGGAUAACUUCGGGAAACCGGAGCUGAUACCGGAUAAUAUAUUGAACCGCAUGGUUCAAUAGUGAAAGACGGUUUUGCUGUCACUUAUAGAUGGAUCCGCGCCGCAUUAGCUAGUUGGUAAGGUAACGGCUUACCAAGGGAACGAUGCGUAGCCGACCUGAGAGGGUGAUCGGCCACACUGGAACUUAGGCACGGUCCAGACUCCUAUGGGAGGCAGCAGUAGGGAAUCUUCCGCAAUGGGCGAAAGCCUGACGGAGAAACGCCGCGUGAGUGAUGAAGGUCUUCGGAUCGUAAAGCUCUGUUAUUAGGGAAGAACAAAUGUGUAAGUAACUAUGCACGUCUUGACGGUACCUAAUCAGAAAGCGACGGCUAACUACGUG
This 497-nucleotide ribosomal RNA is filed under the name uncultured bacterium. RNAcentral describes it as "partial 16S ribosomal RNA". It matches the Rfam family "Bacterial small subunit ribosomal RNA", at positions 28 to 507 of the family's 1533-position model. The record is from RNAcentral.